Molecule: non-coding RNA, 174 nt
Filed under: Palpitomonas bilix
Lineage: Eukaryota
Source: RNAcentral
AGCUCAGAAGAAUGGAAGAAAAUAAUAUGUGAAGAUUGUGGCUAAAAGAAGAUAGGAAGAUAAAGGAUGGAAAAGAAAAAUUUGCCAGCAGCUUCUUUGUAUUUCACAUUUCCUUCCAAAGGUUAAUUUUUGCUCCCUCGCUCUUGUCUGGUCAUCUGGUGCAUAAUUUUUUUA